This 407-nucleotide ribosomal RNA is filed under the name uncultured bacterium. Its description in RNAcentral is "bacterial SSU rRNA". It matches the Rfam family "Bacterial small subunit ribosomal RNA", at positions 355 to 776 of the family's 1533-position model. The record is from RNAcentral.
UGGGGAAUCUUGCUCAAUGGGCGAAAGCCUGAAGCAGCGACGCCGCGUGAAGGAUGAAGGCCUUAGGGUCGUAAACUUCUUUUGCGGGGGACAAAAAAAAUGAUGGUACUCCGCGAAUAAGCGCCGGCCAACUACGUGCCAGCAGCCGCGGUAAUAUGUAGGGCGCAAGCGUUGUUCGGAUUUACUAGGUGUAAAGAGUCUGUAGGUGUUUCGGUAAGUUUCGUGUGAAAUUUUUCUGCUUAACGGAAAAACUGCGCGAGAUACUGCCGAAAUUGAGUGCGAGAGAGGUAACUGGAAUUCCCGGUGUAGCAGUGAAAUGCGUAGAUAUCGGGAGGAACACCAAUGGCGAAGGCAGGUUACUGGCUCGUUACUGACACUGAGAGACGAAAGCGUGGGGAGCAAACAGG